GGAUGUGAGGGCAAUCUGGCUGUGACAGCUGUCCUUGCAUUGAUCAACAAGGUUGAUUUGGCUGAUCCGGAUUGCCAGGCGGGUGCCCCCUUCCUCCCUCACCACUCCAUGUGCGUCCAUCCUGAAGCUGCAUGCUUUGUCAAAGAGGAUGACCAGCCCAAUAGAGGAGUACCAGUCUUAAGUCAAGAAUAUAUGGAUAGCUGCGCUUCCCUGCUAGAUUCUCCAAACAAGCUCUCAAAAUGCAUGCAAAACCUCUGCACUAAACAUUGUAACACACUGCUGAAACUAAUGACAG
RNAcentral lists this small nuclear RNA (295 nucleotides) under Callithrix jacchus (white-tufted-ear marmoset). Its description in RNAcentral is "7SK RNA". It matches the Rfam family "7SK RNA". Rfam says of the family: 7SK was discovered as an abundant small nuclear RNA in the mid-70s but a possible function has only recently been suggested. Two independent studies have found that 7SK RNA binds the CDK9/cyclin T complex (known as elongation factor P-TEFb). Lineage: Eukaryota; Metazoa; Chordata; Mammalia; Primates; Cebidae. The record is from Rfam by way of RNAcentral.